Nematolebias whitei (Rio pearlfish) is the source of this 348-nucleotide long non-coding RNA. RefSeq lists it as uncharacterized. The record is from RefSeq and is a predicted model, not a curated record. The transcript is spliced from 3 exons. NCBI's taxonomy places the organism in Eukaryota, Metazoa, Chordata, Actinopteri, Cyprinodontiformes, Rivulidae.
AGCAGCAGGAAGCAUCAUGGAGCCUGUCUCAGUUGGUCUGUCUGCUCAUGGCCUGCGUGUGUUCAUUACCUCGUAAUGUGGAGAUACCCAAGACUGAGCGCCUGCUGUCACAACUGGAGGAGUUGAGCUGCAGCUGCAGCCACCUGAUGACCUACACCUCUGCCGCUAAGUGUUUUGCAGGCCUGAUCAACAAGAAACCUGAGGGUGAUUUUCUCAACAGCUCAGUUCAGAGAGCAAUGCAACGAGUGUACAGUGAGUUGGACAGCCCCUCUUCUCCUGUUCGCACUCAGGCCUUCACACUGAUGAUUUGGGUAAUUAUAAUUAUUAUUGCUGCUGCAAGGCGAAAGA